This 2082-nucleotide long non-coding RNA is filed under the name Nicotiana benthamiana. RNAcentral's name for it is "long non-coding RNA (NBEN_LNC003987)". Lineage: Eukaryota; Viridiplantae; Streptophyta; Magnoliopsida; Solanales; Solanaceae. The record is from RNAcentral.
UCCCCCUCCGUAUCUCAUUACCCCUUCUCUUCAAAGACCACUCUUCUAAUCCUAGCGCCGCCCCCAAAUCCUCCACCCUCUCCGGUGGCGGCGCCACCUCAGAACAGUACCAAAUCAACACCACGAAAUCCUCAUGCUUUCCUCUUCCCCAAUCUCUAACUCUUUUUCCUUGAAUCUACCCCGAACCCGUUGAAUCUUGAUUUGAAGAGUGAAGCCCUAAAAGCCAGAAUCAAAUAUGUGCAUGUAAGGCUAUCUCUAAGAAUUUCGUGAGUGUUCAAGGCUUAGUUUAUCACAGAAUAAUGAUAUUCGCUUUUUCUUGACAAAGAACAUGCGAUUGACAUUAUUUUGGGUUAAAUCAGAAUGUCUCCAGUGAUUUCGAGUUUAAUCGGUGAGUUUUUCUUCGUCUUUUUGUCUGUUCUUUUAGUUUCACCUCUUCUUCUUCUUCUUCUUCUUCUUUUCUUCUCCGAUUAUUUGAGUCUAUUUUUUGAUUGAAAUUCUGAAUGGUGUCGAACCUAGUUCUUCCUUUUAGACUAAUUUGGUGUUCUUAUUUGCUCCGUUGGAUUUUCCAAUUUCUUCUUUAUAAUUUUUAAGCGUUGUGCAUUGAUUUUGUUUGUUCACUCCUUUAGUUUUUAUAUUUAGACUUCUAAUUUUGCCCUGUUAUUUUAGCCUCAUAGUUUAGUUUAAUUAUGUUUAUUUCAAUUGGUUAACCUAGUUAAUUCUAUGCACAUCUGUGUUUAUUAAUCAGUCAUUUGAUUCAGAUUUUUAAUUGUUGAAAUCAUUUCAGUGUUUAUGUUUUUCUGUUGCUUACAGAAUGUAGUUGGAUUAGUUUCUUGUUUGUUUCUGACCCAUUUGCAAAAAUAAAGGCAGCCCGUUCAUCUUGAUUUAGGAUAUUGGGUCAAUUUGACCUAUUUGGGUCGUUGAAGUAAAAAGCAGAGGUUUAAGGGGUAGUCUAGAAAUUCUAGAUGAGGGAAUCUUUAAUAAUUGAAUGGGAAACUGCCUAGAAGGUGGGGGUUGGGGAUUAUUUGAAAACCUAUUUUUUAAACUAGGGAUGGAACAACAAAGAUGAAAAUUCAAUAAGGAUUUAAGUGCAAAACUGAAUGCAUUUUCUGUUGCCUAAAGGCUUGCCUAUAAAGGCAUAGUUUCUUCUUUAGCAAGUCAGAUUUUAGAGACUAAAAUUCUGAAAAAAGGGUUGCAAACGGCUGAGCUAAAAAUACUUGAAAACGCUUGCAUUUUUGAUAGAAAUUAGUCUAAUUCUGCAAGUUAGCUUUCUAAUUUUGAAACCUUCAAAGAAUAUCUGGCUUAUUAUGGGAUUAAAAGAUGCUAAGGGCUAUUAGAUCACUGUUCCAUUACUGAUUUUUGAGCUGAUUUCUACUAUUAUUCCCUUUCGUUGGUUUACUACUGCUGCUGUUUCUUCCUGAUCUCAAGCUUGAUUUUCCGGUUUUGUUUUGCCAUAUUCAGGUACAUGUUCCUGAACCUUAUUUAAUGUGAGGCUCGAAUUGAAGAAUGAAAUGGAAAAAUAGAGUUUGAAGCAUGUUCUCAAUUUGCUUAUGAAUUCAGUAGUAUUUUCUCAUUGUAUGGUGUUUUAAUAGCCUGAAUCACUAUAUCUUCUAACUAAUUUCUGGUUUAGAUAGUAUAGUUUGUAUUCUUAUGUUUAAUUUGGGACUGUUGAGAUAGUAUAAUAGAUGGUUUAUUCCAAUUACAUGACUUGUUUUAUUUUGCUGAAAGUCAGUGUUUAUCCUUGGUGUUGGUCUCAUAUGGAACUUGCAAAACAACAAGUCUAGUUGGCUAUUUGAAGGGUAUUGUGAUGUGUUCUAAUGCUGUUGUUAUGUUUUGCUAGAAAAUAAGGUUUGAUUUGUGAUAUGUGAUCAUAAACCCAUGUUAAGAGUAGUUUAAUUUGCUUAUUAGUCUUGUUCAAGAUCUUUGCACAAUAAGUUCAGUGUUUAAUAUCUUGUUUAAAUGAGGGUUUAAACCUUGUAGUUUUGAAGUUUGGCUUGUUGUUGUGAAUGAGGAGUUCAGGAUCAUGUUAUGAGAGGUUUCACGUCAUUAUGUAAACACUGUCCAAAUUGAGUAAUCUUAAAGGAC